AAUCCACUCCUUGCACAACUUAAUAAAAAGUAUCAGAAAACCAAUUUUGACAUCACCACCACCACCACUCCAACCCCUGUCCUUUUUCCCUUAUAGGAGAAAACUAAGGAACUCAAGAGGAGUCAUCAGAAUACCUGCCAUGUGGGAGACAUCAACCCCAUUGGUGACUUUUUUUCUGCAUCACAUAUUAGAGCAUGUAUUUGGAUUACUUAGAGCAAGCCAGGACAAUGAGAUUCAAUACUGAAACUUUAAUUCAAACUUGGAAAGAGGAUCUCUUUUCCAUGGGAUUGAAGCUGGAGCUCCUGAGAAGCUGCCUGAUGGAGAGUGCAACACAGAGCAAAGCAGACCUGAGACAUAGAGAGGAGGAAUUCCACUUUAACCUGUAGAUCCAACCAUGCCUGCAGCUGCGCUUGUUCACUGGGUAGAGCAGCUCGAGCUGCAGUAAAAAAAGAAAGGAUUCUCUCAGUUCUCUCAAGGAAACUGUCAAGAACAGCAGACUGUCCAAUAAUCAAGCAAACGCCCAAUUGCAAUACAGGAAUAAAGCCAAAUAACAGAUUUCUUCAAGUGUCAAGCAAAAAGACGUGCACACGCUUCUCGAGAUCCAGAUGCAAGGCCGGCGUCCUGGGCGUCCCUGCUCCGGCCGCUAGAGGGCGGUGCGCUGCUCGCUCACCUCCCUCCGCCUCCAGCGUAGCCUCCGAGCCCCUGGCCGCCCAGAGAAGGGGGCAGAGACGCCUUGUGGGCAGAUACACCCACGUCCGGAAGAGCUGA
This 768-nucleotide long non-coding RNA is filed under the name Callithrix jacchus (white-tufted-ear marmoset). RNAcentral describes it as "lncRNA (ENSCJAG00000074050.1)". Lineage: Eukaryota; Metazoa; Chordata; Mammalia; Primates; Cebidae. The record is from RNAcentral.